This 186-nucleotide ribosomal RNA is filed under the name Salmonella enterica subsp. enterica serovar Enteritidis. RNAcentral describes it as "partial 16S ribosomal RNA". It matches the Rfam family "Bacterial small subunit ribosomal RNA", at positions 1349 to 1533 of the family's 1533-position model. Lineage: Bacteria; Pseudomonadati; Pseudomonadota; Gammaproteobacteria; Enterobacterales; Enterobacteriaceae. The record is from RNAcentral.
UCAGCAUUGCUGCGGUGAAUACGUUCCCGGGCCUUGUACACACCGCCCGUCACACCAUGGGAGUUUGUUGCACCAGAAGCAGGUAGCUUAACCUUCGGGAGGGCGCUUGCCACGGUGUGGCCGAUGACUGGGGUGAAGUCGUAACAAGGUAGCCGUAUCGGAAGGUGCGGCUGGAUCACCUCCUUU